This 202-nucleotide non-coding RNA is filed under the name Thermovenabulum gondwanense. RNAcentral describes it as "T-box sequence". It matches the Rfam family "T-box leader". From Rfam's summary of the family: Uncharged tRNA acts as the effector for transcription antitermination of genes in the T-box leader family. The record is from RNAcentral. Lineage: Bacteria; Bacillati; Bacillota; Clostridia; Thermosediminibacterales; Thermosediminibacteraceae.
AAAAAUGCGAUGACGGGGAAAGUAGGAAGCUUUCUUUGCUCCAAAGCGAGCCGGGGUUUGGUGAAAGCCCGGUGGGCAUAAGCUUUUCGAAGAUCACCCCUGAGUAUUGGCCCGAAAAAAGAGUAGGCGCCAGCGGCAAAAAGCCGUUAUAUUAAAUGAGCCCCAAAUUAGGGUGGUACCGCGGAAAUAACCCGCCCCUUCC